UUCAACCAAAGACAGUAGGUGCCGUUAUCGGCGUAAGUUUUACCGCCUACCGAGGAAUGAGCAUUAUGUAAUUUAUUUGUAUGUAAUGUUGUGCAUUCUCGGUUCUCGGGAAUGCACUUUUUGUUUUGG
Molecule: small RNA, 129 nt
Filed under: uncultured Eubacterium sp.
Lineage: Bacteria; Bacillati; Bacillota; Clostridia; Eubacteriales; Eubacteriaceae
Description: Ribosomal protein L10 leader
Rfam family: Ribosomal protein L10 leader
About the family: This family is a putative r-protein leader autoregulatory structure found in B. subtilis and other low-GC Gram-positive bacteria. It is located in the 5' untranslated regions of mRNAs encoding ribosomal proteins L10 and L12 (rplJ-rplL).
Source: RNAcentral